UACGUAGGGGGCAAGCGUUAUCCGGAUUUACUGGGUGUAAAGGGAGCGUAGACGGCAAUACAAGUCGGAAGUGAAAUACCCGGGCUCAACCUGGGAACUGCUUUGGAAACUGUAUGGCUGGAGUGCUGGAGAGGUAAGCGGAAUUCCUAGUGUAGCGGUGAAAUGCGUAGAUAUUAGGAGGAACACCAGUGGCGAAGGCGGCUUACUGGACAGUAACUGACGUUGAGGCUCGAAAGCGUGGGGAGCAAACAGG
This 253-nucleotide ribosomal RNA is filed under the name uncultured bacterium. RNAcentral's name for it is "partial 16S ribosomal RNA". It matches the Rfam family "Bacterial small subunit ribosomal RNA", at positions 524 to 776 of the family's 1533-position model. The record is from RNAcentral.